RNAcentral lists this ribosomal RNA (794 nucleotides) under uncultured bacterium. RNAcentral describes it as "bacterial SSU rRNA". It matches the Rfam family "Bacterial small subunit ribosomal RNA", at positions 91 to 870 of the family's 1533-position model. The record is from RNAcentral.
GCGAGCGGCGGAUGGGUGAGUAACACGUGGGGAACCUGCCCCUAAGUCUGGGAUACCAUUUGGAAACAGGUGCUAAUACCGGAUAAUAAAGCAGAUCGCAUGAUCAGCUUUUGAAAGGCGGCGUAAGCUGUCGCUAAGGGAUGGCCCCGCGGUGCAUUAGCUAGUUGGUAAGGUAACGGCUUACCAAGGCGACGAUGCAUAGCCGAGUUGAGAGACUGAUCGGCCACAUUGGGACUGAGACACGGCCCAAACUCCUACGGGAGGCAGCAGUAGGGAAUCUUCCACAAUGGACGCAAGUCUGAUGGAGCAACGCCGCGUGAGUGAAGAAGGUUUUCGGAUCGUAAAGCUCUGUUGUUGGUGAAGAAGGAUAGAGGUAGUAACUGGCCUUUAUUUGACGGUAAUCAACCAGAAAGUCACGGCUAACUACGUGCCAGCAGCCGCGGUAAUACGUAGGUGGCAAGCGUUGUCCGGAUUUAUUGGGCGUAAAGCGAGCGCAGGCGGAAAAAUAAGUCUAAUGUGAAAGCCCUCGGCUUAACCGAGGAACUGCAUCGGAAACUGUUUUUCUUGAGUGCAGAAGAGGAGAGUGGAACUCCAUGUGUAGCGGUGGAAUGCGUAGAUAUAUGGAAGAACACCAGUGGCGAAGGCGGCUCUCUGGUCUGCAACUGACGCUGAGGCUCGAAAGCAUGGGUAGCGAACAGGAUUAGAUACCCUGGUAGUCCAUGCCGUAAACGAUGAGUGCUAAGUGUUGGGAGGUUUCCGCCUCUCAGUGCUGCAGCUAACGCAUUAAGCACUCC